RNAcentral lists this unclassified non-coding RNA (329 nucleotides) under soil metagenome. Its description in RNAcentral is "partial contains 5.8S ribosomal RNA, internal transcribed spacer 2, and large subunit ribosomal RNA". The stretch from base 1 to 120 matches the Rfam family "5.8S ribosomal RNA", at positions 35 to 154 of the family's 154-position model. The record is from RNAcentral.
GAUGAAGAACGUAGCGAAAUGCGAUAAGUAAUGUGAAUUGCAGAAUUCAGUGAAUCAUCGAAUCUUUGAACGCACAUUGCGCCCUCUGGUAUUCCGGGGGGCAUGCCUGUUCGAGCGUCAUUAUAACCACUCAAGCUCUCGCUUGGUAUUGGAGUUCGCGAUCUCGCGGCUCCUAAAAUCAGUGGCGGUGCCUGUCGGCUCUACGCGUAGUAAUACUCCUCGCGAUUGAGUCCGGUAGGUUUACUUGCCAGCAACCCCCAAUUUUUACAGGUUGACCUCGGAUCAGGUAGGGAUACCCGCUGAAAUUAAGCAUAUCAAUAAGCGGAGGA